Molecule: non-coding RNA, 164 nt
Filed under: Clostridium cadaveris
Lineage: Bacteria; Bacillati; Bacillota; Clostridia; Eubacteriales; Clostridiaceae
Description: T-box sequence
Rfam family: T-box leader
About the family: Uncharged tRNA acts as the effector for transcription antitermination of genes in the T-box leader family. T-boxes are found upstream of many aminoacyl-tRNA synthetase genes and some amino acid biosynthetic genes usually in Gram-positive bacteria. The anticodon of a specific tRNA base pairs to a specifier sequence within the T-box motif, and the NCCA acceptor tail of the tRNA base pairs to a conserved bulge in the T-box antiterminator hairpin.
Source: RNAcentral
AUUCAUGCGAUGAUAAAGAAAAGUACUUUAUGUGAAUCUUAUAGAGAGAUGAUGGAUGGUGUAAAUCAUUAGAUUUUUUAAAGGAAUGGAGCUUUUGAGCAAUAUUUUAUGAAAGCAGGGCCUAUGCCAAUAAGGGUGGAACCGCGGAUUUAUCCGUCCCUUAA